GGUUAGUUGGCUCAGUCAGUAAAGCGUCUGUCUGUCGAACAAAAGAUCGUGGGUUCGAAUCCAACCCA
RNAcentral lists this transfer RNA (68 nucleotides) under Strongylocentrotus purpuratus (purple sea urchin). It matches the Rfam family "tRNA". Rfam says of the family: Transfer RNA (tRNA) molecules are approximately 80 nucleotides in length. Their secondary structure includes four short double-helical elements and three loops (D, anti-codon, and T loops). Lineage: Eukaryota; Metazoa; Echinodermata; Echinoidea; Camarodonta; Strongylocentrotidae. The record is from Rfam by way of RNAcentral.